CGGACGGGUGAGUAACGCGUGGGUAACCUGCCUCAUACAGGGGGAUAGCAGCUGGAAACGGCUGGUAAUACCGCAUAAGCGCACAGUACCACAUGGUACAGUGUGAAAAACUCCGGUGGUAUGAGAUGGACCCGCGUCUGAUUAGCUGGUUGGCGGGGUAACGGCCCACCAAGGCGACGAUCAGUAGCCGACCUGAGAGGGUGACCGGCCACAUUGGGACUGAGACACGGCCCAG
RNAcentral lists this ribosomal RNA (235 nucleotides) under uncultured bacterium. Its description in RNAcentral is "partial 16S ribosomal RNA". It matches the Rfam family "Bacterial small subunit ribosomal RNA", at positions 99 to 334 of the family's 1533-position model. The record is from RNAcentral.